Non-coding RNA from Podarcis lilfordi (Lilford's wall lizard), 76 nucleotides. The record is from the annotation of a GenBank genome assembly. Lineage: Eukaryota; Metazoa; Chordata; Lepidosauria; Squamata; Lacertidae.
GGGCUGGAGCUCAGUGACAGAGCAUCUGCUUUGCAUGCAGAAGGUCUCAGGUUCUACCCCUGGAGAACCCUGUCUG